UAAAAUAAAAAUUAAAUUUUUAGUGGAACUAAUAAUUCGGUCGUUGUACUACGAGUACUAAUUAAGUCCAAAUCUUAAGAGUUAAGACCUUAUCAUCUUUCCUUUUUACAGUCCUUUCGUCAAAUCUUGUCAUUUCUUUUUCUACCAAAAAUUUAAACAUAAAUAAAAAAAAUAAAUACAUAGUCAUAUCUUUGAUAUGCUUAUCCAAUUCUGUGUAUCAGAGUGUACCUUUGUUCCCGUACACCCUCUUACGUGGCACCACCUGAUAAGGUGUCCCUACACGUGAACCGCUUCUAUUUCAACAUGUUUCCCUUCUUUAUGGGUCCCAUCUUAGCUGUUCCUCAAUUUUGUACCACACUCUAGAAUUUUCUUUUAUUUUUUCUUUUUUCUUUUUUUUUUUUUUUGACUUUUGUCCUUUGGUUUUCUAAACCCUACAAAAUUCCGAAAAAAUAUCAGCCAAAAUAUUGUACUCUUAUUUUCUCUCUCUUCUUCCUCUCUACUCUACCAUUUUCAUGAGCAGCAAAAACAAGAAGGCUCAGAUUCCCAUAAUUAUUCAUCUAAAGAUUGUUUGACGAUGAGAGAGAGCACGCUUAAGCAAGCUUGUCGGGAUCUAUGCAAGUAACUACCAAACUGUGUACAUGCGUGCUCUCUCUCAUUGUCAUAUAAUCUAAAGAUGGAGGCAGCUUGUUUUCUUCUAUCCUCGUGCUUCAACAACAUCCACUUUGAUGUAUGUGAACAUGUUCAGAAAUUUCUUGGUGCUUCACUCUUAUUGGAGAUGAAUGGUGAUUAUAUGCACAGCUUGUCAUCUUCAUUUGCAGGAGCCAGAUGGUGGUGUUAUAUUCAGGGAUAAAGGCGGUACAUACAUUUUUAAAGCAGGUAACAACUCGUAAAGUCGUACUCCGUGAUUGAAGCAGCCACUAAAGUCUUGAGAUAGAUCAUUACAUUAUUAAAUUUGCUAUUUUGUCGGUGAAGUGUGAAUAAAUUGAUAUGAUAAUAGAGUAGGGGUGAAAAUCAAAAUUCAAUUUCGAUCUGAUUGGAUUGAAAUUUUUUGAAAAAUCGGAUUUUCGGAUUGGAUCGAAUUGACUUGUUUGGAUCUAAAAUACCGAAUUAACCGAAAUAUGAAAUCAUACUUUUAUAAAUAUUGAUUGUAUUAAUUAUGUAAAAUUAUGUUGAUAAUUUCAUUAAUAUAAAUUAUGUAAAACUAUGUUUUCAAUACUUGU
This is a long non-coding RNA of Chenopodium quinoa (quinoa), 1220 nucleotides long. RefSeq lists it as uncharacterized. The record is from RefSeq and is a predicted model, not a curated record. NCBI's taxonomy places the organism in Eukaryota, Viridiplantae, Streptophyta, Magnoliopsida, Caryophyllales, Amaranthaceae. The transcript is spliced from 4 exons.